RNAcentral lists this ribosomal RNA (1536 nucleotides) under Bifidobacterium pseudocatenulatum. Its description in RNAcentral is "bacterial SSU rRNA". It matches the Rfam family "Bacterial small subunit ribosomal RNA". The record is from RNAcentral. Lineage: Bacteria; Bacillati; Actinomycetota; Actinomycetes; Bifidobacteriales; Bifidobacteriaceae.
UUUUGUGGAGGGUUCGAUUCUGGCUCAGGAUGAACGCUGGCGGCGUGCUUAACACAUGCAAGUCGAACGGGAUCCAUCAGGCUUUGCUUGGUGGUGAGAGUGGCGAACGGGUGAGUAAUGCGUGACCGACCUGCCCCAUACACCGGAAUAGCUCCUGGAAACGGGUGGUAAUGCCGGAUGCUCCGACUCCUCGCAUGGGGUGUCGGGAAAGAUUUCAUCGGUAUGGGAUGGGGUCGCGUCCUAUCAGGUAGUCGGCGGGGUAACGGCCCACCGAGCCUACGACGGGUAGCCGGCCUGAGAGGGCGACCGGCCACAUUGGGACUGAGAUACGGCCCAGACUCCUACGGGAGGCAGCAGUGGGGAAUAUUGCACAAUGGGCGCAAGCCUGAUGCAGCGACGCCGCGUGCGGGAUGACGGCCUUCGGGUUGUAAACCGCUUUUGAUCGGGAGCAAGCCUUCGGGUGAGUGUACCUUUCGAAUAAGCACCGGCUAACUACGUGCCAGCAGCCGCGGUAAUACGUAGGGUGCAAGCGUUAUCCGGAAUUAUUGGGCGUAAAGGGCUCGUAGGCGGUUCGUCGCGUCCGGUGUGAAAGUCCAUCGCUUAACGGUGGAUCUGCGCCGGGUACGGGCGGGCUGGAGUGCGGUAGGGGAGACUGGAAUUCCCGGUGUAACGGUGGAAUGUGUAGAUAUCGGGAAGAACACCAAUGGCGAAGGCAGGUCUCUGGGCCGUUACUGACGCUGAGGAGCGAAAGCGUGGGGAGCGAACAGGAUUAGAUACCCUGGUAGUCCACGCCGUAAACGGUGGAUGCUGGAUGUGGGGCCCGUUCCACGGGUUCCGUGUCGGAGCUAACGCGUUAAGCAUCCCGCCUGGGGAGUACGGCCGCAAGGCUAAAACUCAAAGAAAUUGACGGGGGCCCGCACAAGCGGCGGAGCAUGCGGAUUAAUUCGAUGCAACGCGAAGAACCUUACCUGGCUUGACAUGUUCCCGACAGCCGUAGAGAUAUGGCCUCCCUUCGGGGCGGGUUCACAGGUGGUGCAUGGUCGUCGUCAGCUCGUGUCGUGAGAUGUUGGGUUAAGUCCCGCAACGAGCGCAACCCUCGCCCUGUGUUGCCAGCACGUCAUGGUGGGAACUCACGGGGGACCGCCGGGGUCAACUCGGAGGAAGGUGGGGAUGACGUCAGAUCAUCAUGCCCCUUACGUCCAGGGCUUCACGCAUGCUACAAUGGCCGGUACAACGGGAUGCGACACGGCGACGUGGAGCGGAUCCCUGAAAACCGGUCUCAGUUCGGAUUGGAGUCUGCAACCCGACUCCAUGAAGGCGGAGUCGCUAGUAAUCGCGGAUCAGCAACGCCGCGGUGAAUGCGUUCCCGGGCCUUGUACACACCGCCCGUCAAGUCAUGAAAGUGGGUAGCACCCGAAGCCGGUGGCCUAACCCUUUGUGGAUGGAGCCGUCUAAGGUGAGACUCGUGAUUGGGACUAAGUCGUAACAAGGUAGCCGUACCGGAAGGUGCGGCUGGAUCACCUCCUUUCUACGGAG